This 2090-nucleotide long non-coding RNA is filed under the name Sus scrofa (pig). RNAcentral's name for it is "lncRNA (ENSSSCG00000061708.1)". The record is from RNAcentral. Lineage: Eukaryota; Metazoa; Chordata; Mammalia; Artiodactyla; Suidae.
GCCUGCACCCCAGUAUAUGGAAGUUCCCAGGCCAGAGACUGAAUCUGAGCCACACCUGCAGCAACGAUGGAUCUGCUAAACUGCUGCACCAGGCAGGGGAUGGAACCCGCACCUCUGAGCCCCUGCUUUGGCUGCUCAGCCCUGCAGGCCUCCCCGUAACUGGCACAUGGUAAUCCCAGCUCAGGUCCCCUGUCAUGGAAAGGGAUGGCAGUGCAGUUUUUGUCCCAGACAGCAGCACAGAGGGGCUGGAAGAAUCAACAAAAGAGUCCUGCCCUCUGGAUUCCAGGGGAAUAUUCCAACCAGUCAGAGUCCUCCUGGGGCUGAAGGUUUUCCCAGGGGUGGCUGCAAGGACUAACUCUAGUGCAGGACCCAGGGUCCCGCCUGUCACUUCUUCCCUUCUGCCCUCCAGUCACCCUUCUCCAGCUUUGGGAGCAGGUAGCAAGUCCCCUCCACUCCAGGGCUUUCAGCAGGAUGGCCCUGGGCUGUCAGAUCGGGUUAGGCCAGAGGAGGGUGGGUGGGAAGGAACCCUUCUCAGUGGUCCACCCCUUGGGUGGGCAUCUCAAGAUAAGCCAUCCCUCCAGCUCCUCCAUGAGGAUGAUCUGGCUUCCGCCUCUUCCUCCAGCCACACAUUUGCAUGAAGAGUUGGGAGACUGGAUAUGGGGGAGGGAGACAAAAGAGCCCUGAGACUUGAGACCUGGGGGUUGGUGCCAAUUUAAAUUCUGCCUCAGGCAGAGCAGGCUUGGAACAAGGAAUGUGUAUCUGAACACCUGCUGCAUGCUGGGCAUUGUGCCAGGCCCUUUGCAUAGAUCCUCAUCUAAUCCUCACCGUAAUUUAGGAGGUACACAAUCUAGGCCCAUUUUACAGAUGAAAAAAAGAAGAUUCAGUGAGUUUAACUUAAUUGCCCAGAGUUACACAGCCACCUGAGGGAAGUAGCCCUGGUUUUAUUGGAGGCAUUGUCCUUUCAGACUGAGGGUCCCUCAGCAAAAGCUCCUGGGGACUAUGAAUGCCUAAGGCUGGACCAGGAGGUGCAGCCUGAGGAAAUGUGUGUGGAAGGCUGGCUUGGGGAGUAAGGCAGCUCUGUCACAGACUGGCUGGGGCUCUGGGUGCCCCAGCAGCCAAUGGGGAGCUAUGGAAGAGAUUUGCACAGGUCCCCUCGUUCCCCCACCUGCAGUUAGUAAGGGUCCCCAAGCCUAAGAUUCUGGCGUGGAUGAAGGCUACUUCCCAGCUGAUGCACUUGAAAAAAGUCCCUGCCUCUACCAUGGGCCGCAGAAUGCUGUGUAAUUUCCUCUGUGGGUCAGUCCUCCACCAAGUGCGAUGACAGGGCCAUGAGUCAGGUUCAGCCCAUCACUGCCAAGCCACCACAGCUGCCAGCUGCUCCCUGCCUUCUCCCAUCUCUGCUCCAUCCAGCAUAGGAGAGGAGGGGCUACUCCAGGGACGGUCAGGCAGGCAUCCACUGUGGGCCACACCAGACCCAGAGCACGUCAGGAGUCGGGAGGAGUUCUGGGGUAUGGAUGGUGUGACCGUGUCUGACCCAAGUGGGUCAGCCUCAAGCUUCCACGUCAGGAAUCGAGGUGCCCCAGCAAGCUGUUUGGACUGGGCCUGACCACCCCUACUCAACUCCCAAGUAAGAACAUUCUCCACCUUCCUCUUAAGCUCAGGAGUCCUGCGGAGGAAUUUGCUCCUCGCAGAAAAGGACACUUCCAAGCUCCUUUUUUGGCUCAUAGUAAUGAAUACAACUAGGACCCAUGAGGAUACAGGGUUUGAUCUCUGACCUCACUCAGUGCGUAAGGAUCCGGCAUUGCUAUGAGUUGUGGUGUAGGUCACAGAUGAGGCUCAGAUCCUGUGUUGCUGUGGCUGUGGUGUAGGCUGGUGGUUGCAGCUCCAAUUUGACCCCUAGCCUGGGAACUUCCAUAUGCUUUGGGUAUAGCCCUAAAAAGACAAAUAUAUAAAUAAAAAUAAAAAUUUUUUAAAAAUCAGUGGUUACUUCAGCUGCCUUUAAGGAAUUCACACAUAGCCAAGGCCUUGAAACUCAAGAACUUUUGAGUUUUGGAAAAUAAGAAGGAAAAUUUUUGGACUCUUUGUUCUGAGCU